GGGAGACCUAAUUCGGGUAUAAGACGAAAAAAGAGUAGUCGAAACCAAGAAUCAAUCCCAAAAGGUCGGAACGAGGUAUGUGGCUUUCAAACUAGGUUCUGGGUUCACACAAGACCUGAAUCAGGAACAAGGGCUAUUAGCUCAGGUGGUUAGAGCGCACCCCUGAUAAGGGUGAGGUCCCUGGUUCGAGUCCAGGAUGGCCCACCUGCACAGGUGGCAAAAACAAAGAAGCGAGGAAUCAGCACCUUAUCUUAUCUAUAUAUAAGAGAGAAUGCUGGCUCUGAGUAAAGAGUCCAGAGGAACCUUGAAAACUGCAUAGAGCUAGGUGAAAAAGCCAAAAAAGAAGACCGCAAGGUCAAGCUAAUAAGGGCUAACGGUG
RNAcentral lists this transfer RNA (379 nucleotides) under Microcystis sp. X39. RNAcentral's name for it is "partial 16S-23S ribosomal RNA intergenic spacer". The stretch from base 131 to 204 matches the Rfam family "tRNA". RNAcentral also lists the same sequence under 2 other names. The record is from RNAcentral. Lineage: Bacteria; Bacillati; Cyanobacteriota; Cyanophyceae; Chroococcales; Microcystaceae.